UCACUGUUACUCUUUCUCCUUCUCCUAAAUGAAACUUUGCUCCAAGUGGUCUUGGUCCUCCUCAUAGUGAGAUCACAGAGGAGGGGUGACCUCCAGUCUUCUGCCUUCUAUGCAGGCGUUCCGGCCUAGCAACCCCUCCCACUGUCCCCUCUGCACCACACAGAAGUCAGGGACACCUUCCAGGGUGGGGCUGUUGGGCUGGGCUCAGGGGUCAGAAGCUGAUAGGAGAGGUCAGGUCUCCUGUGUGCCCUGGAUGGAGUCAAAGGACACGGUCCCGCUCGGGAGGUGUGUUCCUCCAUCUGCCAAGUGAAAAUUUCUCAUCUGUCCCCCUGAAGACGGGGUGAGGGGCACCGCUGGAGUCCAAGGUGCUGGGGUAGGGUGGAUGUAAGCAGGACCCUUCCCAGCCCUGGACCAGAGCCCAUCACCCUGGCAGCAGGAGCCUCAGGUACAGCCACGUGCUACGCAGUGGGGGCUUGUCACUCACCCUAUGGCACUGGGGCCUACAGCUUUUCUUCCCAGUUCUCUCUUGACCCUAAAAUAAAGGCACACAUACAUUCAUUUUUA
Molecule: long non-coding RNA, 564 nt
Organism: Chinchilla lanigera (long-tailed chinchilla)
Lineage: Eukaryota; Metazoa; Chordata; Mammalia; Rodentia; Chinchillidae
Exons: 2
Source: RefSeq, a predicted model, not a curated record